CAGAGUAGGAAGACUUGCGUCAAGUGCAGUGGGAUGGGAAGUUGCCCGCUGACGAAAGAGACGGUGGACCCUGUGAAACCGUAAACUCUGCGGUGAGUCUCCCGCGUCCGCUGC
This 114-nucleotide non-coding RNA is filed under the name human gut metagenome. RNAcentral's name for it is "THF riboswitch". It matches the Rfam family "THF (Tetrahydrofolate) riboswitch aptamer". Rfam says of the family: THF riboswitch presents a pseudoknot that joins P1-P2 and the loop of P3 and two THF binding. The record is from RNAcentral.